ACUCCUACGGGAGGCAGCAGUGGGGAAUAUUGCACAAUGGGGGAAACCCUGAUGCAGCCAUGCCGCGUGUGUGAAGAAGGCCUUCGGGUUGUAAAGCACUUUCAGUAGGGAGGAAGGUAGUGUAGUUAACACCUGCACUAUUUGACGUUACCUACAGAAGAAGCACCGGCUAACUCCGUGCCAGCAGCCGCGGUAAUACGGAGGGUGCGAGCGUUAAUCGGAAUUACUGGGCGUAAAGCGCAUGCAGGCGGCCUGUUAAGUCAGAUGUGAAAGCCCGGGGCUUAACCUCGGAAUUGCAUUUGAAACUGGCAGGCUAGAGUCUUGUAGAGGGGGGUAGAAUUUCAGGUGUAGCGGUGAAAUGCGUAGAGAUCUGAAGGAAUACCAGUGGCGAAGGCGGCCCCCUGGAC
RNAcentral lists this ribosomal RNA (407 nucleotides) under uncultured bacterium. Its description in RNAcentral is "bacterial SSU rRNA". It matches the Rfam family "Bacterial small subunit ribosomal RNA", at positions 335 to 734 of the family's 1533-position model. The record is from RNAcentral.